RNAcentral lists this small nucleolar RNA (107 nucleotides) under Stereum hirsutum FP-91666 SS1. Its description in RNAcentral is "Small nucleolar RNA snR60/Z15/Z230/Z193/J17". It matches the Rfam family "Small nucleolar RNA snR60/Z15/Z230/Z193/J17". From Rfam's summary of the family: The members of this family belong to the C/D class of snoRNAs which contain the C (UGAUGA) and D (CUGA) box motifs. Most of the members of the box C/D family function in directing site-specific 2'-O-methylation of substrate RNAs. The family includes the yeast snoRNA snR60 (also known as Z15) and the corresponding human guide snoRNA U80 (SNORD80). The record is from Rfam by way of RNAcentral. Lineage: Eukaryota; Fungi; Basidiomycota; Agaricomycetes; Russulales; Stereaceae.
CAGUCUCGUCUGAUGAUAUACACACAAACAAGCAUAGUUCACACUGAAACUACUAACCGUGUAGACAAACAUGCAUCUCAUGUCUUUCGCUCCUAUCUGACUCAUUC